UACGUAGGUGACCAGCGUUGUCCGGAUUUACUGGGCGUAAAGAGCGCGCCGGCUGUCGUUCACGUCGAGUGUGAAAGCCCCCGGCUCAACUGGGGAGGGUCAUUCGAUACUGAUCGACUGGAAGGCAGGAGAGGGAAGCGGAAUUCCCGGUGUAGUGGUGAAAUGCGUAGAUAUCGGGAGGAACACCAGUGGCGAAGGCGGUUCUCUGGGCAUUACCUGACGCUGAGGAGCGAAAGUGUGGGGAGCGAACAGG
This 253-nucleotide ribosomal RNA is filed under the name uncultured bacterium. RNAcentral's name for it is "partial 16S ribosomal RNA". It matches the Rfam family "Bacterial small subunit ribosomal RNA", at positions 524 to 776 of the family's 1533-position model. The record is from RNAcentral.